Molecule: ribosomal RNA, 450 nt
Filed under: uncultured bacterium
Lineage: Bacteria
Description: bacterial SSU rRNA
Rfam family: Bacterial small subunit ribosomal RNA
Source: RNAcentral
AACGCGAAGAACCUUACCUGGGCUUGACAUGCAUCGUGUCGCCGGUGAAAGCCGGCUAGUGUAGCAAUACACGCUUUGCACAGGUGCUGCAUGGCUGUCGUCAGCUCGUGUCGUGAGAUGUUGGGUUAAGUCCCGCAACGAGCGCAACCCUUGUGUCCUGUUGCCACCCCGGCGAGAGUCGGGAGCACUCUGGACAGACUGCCUCGCUUAAACGAGGAGGAAGGUGGGGAUGACGUCAAGUCAGUAUGGCCCUUACGGCCAGGGCUGCACACGUACUACAAUGCCCGGCACAAAGGGAAGCAAGACCGCAAGGUGGAGCAAAUCCCCGAAAACCGGGCCCAGUUCAGAUUGUCGUCUGCAACUCGACGGCAUGAAGUUGGAAUCGCUAGUAAUGGCGCAUCAGCUACGGCGCCGUGAAUACGUUCCCGGGCCUUGUACACACCGCGCAUA